CUUGCAAUGCUCAUAUUCAUUCUGCAGUUCAGACCACUUUGAAGAAGCUGCCUAGGAUGCUACCUCUGAUUAAUGUGGUCCAUUUGAUUCAUUGCAUUAUAUAUAUAAAAGGUCCCUGUGAAAAUGACAGGAAAGCUGCUGCUGGUGGUCUUAGUAUACAUUACUAAAGACAGUGACUUUUACAUGAUCUCUGACGUGAAACUCACAAAUGAAUUGAGCAACUUUUCACCCCACAUUGUAAGAAGAAAGUUGGAAAAUAAUUCUGUUAGUUCACCAAACUAGUGUGUUUUAUGUAUUGGAAAUGUAUGAUUGUCAUUUAUUUCUUGCUACACUGCUGUUUAUAAAGAAGAGUGUUGAUUCAACACCAAGUCAAGUGUUUAUGGAAACUUAAUUGCUUCAGUUUUAUCUGUUGGUCCUGUCAAUUCCUGGCAUUGCUCUACCCAACACAAUGCUGUCUGUAUUUAUACCACUGAUGUCUUCAUAUAGAGUUGCUAUCCUGCUUCAAAUAUGGUUUUAAAAGAAUUUUGGAAGUGUUGGAAAGCAAAGAAUAACUUGAUUUGCAUGUGAGCCCCAAACAUGGGUGCCAGUUGGCUGCUUCUGUUCAUCUCUCUCCUAUUUUCAUGGAUUGUUCUCUUUCUGCUUAAGCUUUUUAGCAUAGUAGGAAAUUAUAUGCAGUGAUUUUUUUCCCCCUAAAACAAAAAAAACACUAGUCUAACAUAUAAUAUAACAACCUGAUGGG
Molecule: long non-coding RNA, 739 nt
Organism: Lemur catta (Ring-tailed lemur)
Lineage: Eukaryota; Metazoa; Chordata; Mammalia; Primates; Lemuridae
Exons: 3
Source: RefSeq, a predicted model, not a curated record